This 436-nucleotide ribosomal RNA is filed under the name Platymaia remifera. Its description in RNAcentral is "partial 12S small subunit ribosomal RNA". The record is from RNAcentral. Lineage: Eukaryota; Metazoa; Arthropoda; Malacostraca; Decapoda; Inachidae.
AAGAGUAAAACCAAGUUAUUUUUUAGAAUAAAAACACUAAAGUUGAAGCUAAUCUCUUCUAGAAUUAAACUAGGAUUAGAUACCCUAUUAUACUAGAACCCAAUACUCAGCCUGAACACUACUAAAUAUAAUUUCAAAUUUAAAGAAUUUGGCGGUAGCUUAGUCCUGUCAGAGGAACCUGUUUUUUAAUCGACACACCCCGUAUAAUCUUACUUAAGCCUGUAUACCAUCAUUACCAGAUAAAUUCUAAAGAACUCUUAUUGAACCUUAUAGAUUAUAAAAAUUAGAUCAAGGUGCAGCUAAUAGGUAAGUUAAAAUGGGUUACAAUAAACUUGAUUUACAACGAAACAAAUUGAAGGAGGAUUUGAUUGUACAAAAAUUUAACAUGUUCUAGAGAUAUUAGCUCUAAGCUGUGUACAUAUCGCCCGUCGCUUUC